GGAAUCUUAAAAGAUGACAAUGAUUCCUUUAGUCCCAGCACUCGGAAGGCAAAGGCAGGCAGAUCUCUGAGGUUGAGGCCAACCUAGUCUACAGAGCAAUUUCAGGAAGACAACUGUCAAGAGCUUUUGACAUCAUUCAAAUUUUCCUUUUUCUUCCUGAAUAGUUUACAAUUUGACAACAACUAAAUUCUCUCUUCAACGUUUCUUAAAAGCUGUCAACUCUGAGGCUCAUCCAAUGGACAAAGCUUGGCCUUCUGAGUCCCAGGAACACUGCUGGGUACUGUGCCUUUCUUCAGGCUCUGGCAAACAUUUUUCUAAGUUAGAAUAACAAGCACAAAGUAUGUGACUGACUUUAGUGACCUAAUAUAGCCAAUUUAUCAAAUGGAAAGGACUGGCCCAAGUCUAAGCAAGUUCUGCCUCCUGCGGAAACCUAGAGAUGCCUAUGUUUCCUCCUCCUCCAGAUUCAAGGAAAGAAAAGAAAUACACAUAUAAAGCUCACAAAUGG
Peromyscus eremicus (cactus mouse) is the source of this 505-nucleotide long non-coding RNA. RefSeq lists it as uncharacterized. The transcript is spliced from 2 exons. The record is from RefSeq and is a predicted model, not a curated record. Lineage: Eukaryota; Metazoa; Chordata; Mammalia; Rodentia; Cricetidae.